This is a long non-coding RNA of Amphiprion ocellaris (clown anemonefish), 6075 nucleotides long. RefSeq lists it as uncharacterized. NCBI's taxonomy places the organism in Eukaryota, Metazoa, Chordata, Actinopteri, Pomacentridae. The record is from RefSeq and is a predicted model, not a curated record. The transcript has 2 exons.
CAGCAUCCCAGACCUAAAGAACACAGUUGGUUGUGAGACUGGGUAAUUUACACAUGCCGUUGGACGUAGAAAGAAUAGGGAUGAGAGCAGAGGAAAGGGAUUAGAAGGUGGAGAAAAGACAUUGCUUCUCACUUACUGCAGGACAAGCUGCCUGAUGUUGUUCCUCAGCUGGUUUUUGUUCAAAUGUGGGCUCCAUGUGUGAUUAGAGAGGUGAUUGGAGACAAAGUUGUCCACUCGUUGUUUUAGGUUCAAGUAGGCAGGCUGAAAAAGAUUUGCACCAUUUCCAUUACAAAUAUCCACACUGAUAAACACAAUACUAUGAACGUACACUAAAUGUUAAAAACAAAACCGAUCAAAAAGUAAAGCGCUACAUUGCUUUUAGGUCAGAAUACACACAGACUAUACCUUGAUAUUUUCAAAUGAGCUAAUCAUUUACUACAAAACCAGGACAUCUGCAUGAUUAAGGAUGUUAGAUUCAAGGCUUUUAAUAAAAUACUGUGGACACUGUCUUUUUUUAUGCACAACUCAAGAUAUAUACAGUUUACUGACACAGAGAAUUAAAGAAACCAGACAAUAUAAAAGAUAAGAAGCUGGAAUAAGAGAAUUCAGACUUUUAAAAUAUUUAAUAAUGACUCAAACCGAUUAAAUCGUUUGUUUAAUAGUAAUGGUUCAGCUGUAAAUCACCUAUUGAUAAGUAAUAGUGCAGUUACUAUCAAGAACACAAAGCUCAGUUUAACACCACUUGUCCGUGUUUAUUCGACCAGAGAGUUGAAUUUUAGCGAAGGAAAACUAACUUGUUCACUCAAAAUGGACAUUUUCUAGCCACGCAGUAAAAUAACUAAUUAGUAGUGUAACGCUGUGUUUAUAUUAGGGUGUAGCUUCAGUGGCCAAAAUGAAACCCCGGUGUCAAAACUUCUUCUCCAAAAAUACAAAUAAACUAAAGCAGCUACUUCCCAGAGCUAAAGUCUGCACAUUAAUUUCCCAAAAUGAGUUUAAUCACGCGAUAACUGUGGUUAAAUGUUACAUAUUAGCUGACGAUGCGUUAUAAAGAUGCUUCCAGCCGUUACCUUUGUAUCAACGUCUGCCAGGCAGUCCCUCCUGAACUGGUCGAAGAGACCCUGAGUCUUUAGAUGGUUGACGAUCAUGGAGACCAGCUGAGGGUCUCCCGGUGGUAAACCGGCCAUGUCCCGGUGAGGUCUGACUAGAUUUAGCGAUUAGAAGCGAGAAAACAUCAGGUAACGUCCCACUGGGGCGCCGUAGUCUUCUGUUGUGGUCUGUGAAGUUCGAAGCAGCGCUGACCCGGAAGAAGUGUUCACUCUGGGCCGGAACCGCUUUAAAAGAGGGGGAGUCUCUUAUCAAAAUAAAAGCUUCCAAAUCGAUAUUUAUCAGAAUCACACAACAUACAAGGAAUUUGGUUUCGGCUGUUGGUGUCACCCGAGGAAUAAGGAAAGAGAAUAAUAAUAACUAGAAAAAAGAAGAGAUUUUUUUAAAAGUAAGUAAAUAAAUACAAAUGCAUUUUUAAAAAAUAGCAGUAAUAAAGAAAAAUAAUACAUACAAAUAGUUACACAUCUAAAUAUAUAUAUAUAAACACAGUAUAAUCUAUCUAUCUGGCUAUCUAUCUAGCUAUCUAUCUAUCUAAUGCAAAAUGGUAAUUGCUAGAGUGACAAUACAGUGCAAAAAGCAGAGAAUACUGUUCUUAGUGCAAAAAUAAUGUAGCCUACGUAUACAUUGGUAUAUUGUACAGGUGUGGAGAAAUGGCUCAGCCGUUUAUUAGGGCUAUGGCAGUGGGAAAGAGGCUGUUAUUGUGUCUGGUGGUUUAAGUGUACAUGGCUCUGGAGCGCCUGCCAGAGAGGAGGGGUCAAUCAGUUUCAAUUGUUCAGUAAAACCUUUGUGCACUUUAUUCCACUUGUCUGCACUGUUUUCAACUUAUUUGAUGAAAUUACUUAAAUUUUGUGAUUUUUAUUAUGUUUUAGCUUUUACAUGUUUUUAACCUUUACUUAUAGAACACUUUGAAUAACAGCUGUGUGUAAUAAGGUGCUAUAAAAAUAUAAUGACCUGUUAAAUAAAUUAACAAAAAGGCAGGAGAAUAAGAAAAAAAGGAUAUGAAAUUUUCACAUAUAAAAUGAAUAAUAAGGAACAAUAUUAUGAAAGAAAGGCAACAUAAGUGAGCAUAGUAAAAUAAUAAUAAUAAUAAGAAGACAUUUUCAUGCAGUUCAGAUGGCAUCAGUAAGAACAAAAACAUCAUGCAGAAAACUUAACAAGGUUGAGAUCAAGGCUACAUAAAACAUAACAUCUGCUGGGUAAUCCACAUAGCACUGCCAAACAGAAGAAACAGCAGCUCAUGUGUUGUGCCAAACAUAUGCAUGGACUGCAGGAACUGAAGAUGUUUAAUAUUAAACAAAUCUUGGAUCACAGAAGUGUUACAAAAAUGAAGAAACUGGAUACAAGAAUAUAAUAUAACUUAAUUUUGAUGUAUUUUUUUUGGUUCCUUGUAUUGGUUUUUUUAUAGGAUAAUUGUUAGACCUGAGUCUCCAAGAUUAUAAGCCUGAAUGCUUUAUGAGUGCCUUUCUUGUUUUUUUUUGUUUUUUGUUGUUGUUUUGUUUUUUACAAAAGAGUACUUUUUUAAAUUUUCUAACUUAUUCAUUAAAUUUGUACCUGUGUUUAAAGCCUUGAAAACAAUAUCAUACAGUUGAUCACAAAUGUUGGGAUGUCAUUUUACUGUUUGUAAAAGGGUGUUUGCAACACUGAUAUUAUUGUGUGUUUGGUUUCCUCCCAUAACAUGACAUAUAAAACACUUUCUAAUCAAUAACCACCGACUGUAUAAAUCGGCUUUCAGUCAUUCUGACCAAUCACUGCUCUCCGGCUCCGUCUUCUGGCUCCAAAAAUCCAGGAUGUCAACCAAGAAAUUUUUUUUUUGUACUGUACUUGGUCCGUGUACCUAUCUGGCAAUUGGAUUUUCCGUUCUGAAACGGGUAUUGAAAAACAAAAAACGAGUGGUUAUUUGAUUUUCGUUUUAAAAUAGAAAAAUUAAAAUUGAAAUACAAGGCGUUUUUCCUUUUCAUGAUUAAAAGUGGAUAUACGAAAUUUUAAAAAUGCGCUGAUUUUCAUUUUAUAUUUAGAAUACCAAAAAAGUAAAAUCAGUAAAGCGGCAGAAACGAAAAAGGUCCGUUUUUUUAAUUUUCUGAGACCGGAAGUGGUCAUCAGCAAGUGUGGAGCCAAACAGAGUAUGGUGCAUAGACUGUAUAUAAUUUUUUCGUUAGUUUUCAUGGUCAAAAUGAGAGAUCAGGUGGCUGAUCUUAAAAUAAAUCAAUACUGAUUUUUUUUUUAUAGAGUGUUAAAGUUUUGCGAAGCCAGGGGGCGGGCUUAUUUGAUUGACAGUCCGGUCUGGAAUGAUUGACAGGUCCUAUGGAGGAGGCAGCAGAGACUCUGCUCUCUUCGUUUGGAUUAAUUCUGAUAUAAUAACUGUUGGUUUAUUUAUCGGUGGAGCAGCACAGCAUUUUCCACAGACAGUUUUCCUGCCCGUUGGCUUGUUUUAACCAGUUUUCUACCUUCCGCUGAUUCUACCAGCAGACACUGAAAGGACUUUGAUAGUUCGGUAAGUUAAUGUUUAUUUUCUUAUCGGUGCCACUUUUAGUGCACUUUAUAUGCAGCUUUAGUCUCAGAUAUAAUGUGUGUCAUGCACUCCAGAUGUUGGUGGAGUCUAUUUCUGUGUGUGUUGACCAGAGAAGAAAGUUAGCAUCCGGUAAAUAUUAGUUUUGAUGUUAGCGAUGCUAGCCGAGCUAGCUGCUCAGUCGUAGCUUCAUUAAAGCUAACGUAGCGUUAAGCUAACGAUGAGUGUGUUGUUUCAUGUAAACAGCUGAAGUGUGUUGUGUUACUGUAAUGUGAACCAGCGUCUCCAUGAACAGUUUUAUGAACUAAAUGCACUUCUUUCAGUCAAUGUUGUGUUUCUUUCAAUUUGAAAUAUCUCGAUUUAAUUAAUACAGCUUAGUCAGUUACAUUUUAUAUUAUUAAGAAUUCUUAUCAGUUUAACACUAGAUGACGUAUCAGUUCAUUGAGUAUUUCAGAGCCAGUUUUUUUCUUUUCAAUUAUCUGUAUUUAAAGUGAUAUUAUUAAAAUAUAAUUGCAAUGAAACAGCAGCAACAUAAGAAACGACCAAAUAUACAAAGGAAGUGCAGCUAUUUUAAUAUUAAAAAAAAAGAUCUAUCAGUUAGAAUAUGGUUAAAGUGCAGCUAAAGUUAAGUUAAGUUAGCGAAACUACGGAUAAGCAACGUUUCCUUUUACUUCCAGAAAAAUAAAAGCCUCAUAUUUGCUAUUUAUUAAAAAAAAAUCACUAAAAGCAACACUUCCACCAAGUUUGUUUUAGUUUGUUUGUAUUUAUCGGUGGAGCAGCAGAACAUUUUCCACAGACAGUUUUACUGUCCGUUGUCUUGGUUUAAUCAGUUUUCAGUUCAGUAAUUCAGUCCUUCAGCUGAUAGGACCAACAGACAAUGAAGGACUCUGACAGCUGGUUGGUAAUAAAUGAUAAUUUACUGAUCGGUGCCGGUUUUAAUGAACUUUAUGUUCAACUUCAGAGUCAGAUAUAAUGUGAGCAGUGAACCCCAGGAGUUGGUGGAGUUUAUUUGUGUGUGCUGACCAGAGAAGAGAGUUAGCAUCCAGUGAAUAAUAGCUUUAAUGUGAAUUAGCGAUUCUAACCGAGCUAGCUGAGCAGUCCUGAUUAGCAGUUAAAUGUAGCGUCAAGCUAAUGAUGUUUGUGUUGUUUCCUGUCAACAGCUGAAGUGUGUUGUGUUCCUGUAAUGUGGUUCAUUAAGUUCAUAAAACUGUGGCUGUUGACAUUAAUGUAACAUUCAGGAAACUUAAAUGUGAUUAAAACAGUAACGUUAAUGUUCUAGUUGUCAGUAAUUAGCAUUAAUUUGACACUAAAACAGACUCUGAUAGUUUUAAAUGACAUCAGUUUCAUUAAUUUGUUGAAAAUUGUCUCAUUUGUUGUUGUGAUGUUGCUGCUGAUGGAUUAAAAGCAGAUGAUCCGUGAUGAAGACACGUUUAGUUCUAGUAUCAGAAGUACAAGAAGGAAAAUGGAAGUUUAGUUCUGCUACGUCAAAGAUUUCAGGAAUAAAAUAACUAAAUGAGUCUUUGUGUCUCAAACUUUAUUUUACAAUAAUGAAAUAAUGAAAUAAUCACAGAUAAUAAAAAUAUAAAUAGCAGAGAAAACCUGAGAGAAUAAUUUCCUGAAAAGUCUGUGAAGGAAUAGCAGCUUUUUAUCCUGAAAGAUCAGAAUCAGCUCCAACAUCUGCAUCUGACAGCAUCAAAUCAACCAGAAAGAAAAGAAAAAAGAAAAUGACUUCUUUCUGAUCACAUCUGUUCCGCUGCUCACAGGCUGCCGCCAGGAGCUGGGUCUUUAAAAUAACUGCCGUCUCGUUACAGAGUGAAGGUAGCAGUUCCUCCUUAAGGUCAGAGAUUGCAGCAUCUGAGGACCUCUUCAAAAGAAGACGUAGUUGAUGAAGGCGUUCUGGAGCAGGACCAGAAAGACCACAACCAAGCAGCCUUGAGAUCUUAGGCAGCGUCUCCCUCAGUUCAAAGGUCCCUCUCUAUCUCCCCACACAUCCACCAACCACUGGAACACAUCUCCAAAGUUCUGCCGGGCCAGCUCAGCUUCCCCUCAGAAGAAGUUCUGCCAGAUGAAGGAGCCUUUUGAGAGGCAGCUGGCAUCGUGAUUAGACUGUACUUUGGUCUGUUCCAAUCCAGCUUCAGCUCCAGAGACGGCAGGCGGGACGAGUCAACGGAGGCCUGGUGGACGAAGGCAUGUAGCUGAGUACAAUCCAGAAAACAACAGAGGAGGAGUGCAGUGGCCCAGAGCCAGAACAAACAGAGUAGCAUGGUAUGUCUCUUAGAAAACAUCAUAGUAUAGCCUUUGGUAUGAAAAAACGCCAUCAUAUACAUUGUAGAUUGUACAAAUAACAAGUCAAAGGAAAGAGACAUACAUUGUAGAAUUGUAGUAAUUGUGGGCUGACUGAUUUACUGAUUAUCAGUAUUUUAUUUUUUACUGAUUUACGGUAAUAAAUACAUUUAAAAAUGGCA